RNAcentral lists this ribosomal RNA (429 nucleotides) under Chloroflexota bacterium. RNAcentral describes it as "Chloroflexi bacterium partial 16S ribosomal RNA". It matches the Rfam family "Bacterial small subunit ribosomal RNA", at positions 355 to 776 of the family's 1533-position model. Lineage: Bacteria; Bacillati; Chloroflexota. The record is from RNAcentral.
UGGGGAAUAUUGCACAAUGGGCGCAAGCCUGAUGCAUCCAUGCCGCGUGUGUUAAGAAGGCCUUCGGGUUGUAAAGCACUUUCAGCGGGGAGGAAGGCGUUAAGGUUAAUAACCUUGGCUAUUGACGUUACCCGCAGAAGAAGCACCGGCUAACUCCGUGCCAGCAGCCGCGGUAAUACGGAGGGUGCAAGCGUUAAUCGGAAUUACUGGGCGUAAAGCGCACGCAGGCGGUCUGUCAAGUCGGAUGUGAAAUCACAGGGAUAAACCUGGGAACUGAAUUGGAAACUGGCAGGCUAGAGUAUUGUAGAGGGGGGUAGAAUUCCAGGUGUAGCGGUGAAAUGCGUAGAGAUCUGGAGGAAUACCGGUGGCGAAGGCGGCCCCCUGGACAAAGACUGACGAUCAGGUGCGAAAGAGUGGGGAGCAAACAGG